UCCAGACUCCUACGGGAGGCAGCAGUGGGGGAUAUUGCACAAUGGGCGAAAGCCUGAUGCAGCGACGCCGCGUGAGGGAAGACGGUCUUCGGAUUGUAAACCUCUGUCUUUGGGGAAGAAUAGAGACGGUACCCAAAGAGGAAGCUCUGGCUAACUACGUGCCAGCAGCCGCGGUAAUACGGAGGAUGCGAGCGUUAUCCGGAUUUAUUGGGUUUAAAGGGUGCGCAGGCGGAAUGUCAAGUCAGCGGUAAAAUUUCGGGGCUCAACCCCGUCGUGCCGUUGAAACUGGCGUUCUUGAGUGAGCGAGAAGUAUGCGGAAUGCGUGGUGUAGCGGUGAAAUGCAUAGAUAUCACGCAGAACUCCGAUUGCGAAGGCAGCAUACCGGCGCUCAACUGACGCUCAUGCACGAAAGCGUGGGUAUCGAACAGGAUUAGAUACCCCCGUAAA
Molecule: ribosomal RNA, 447 nt
Filed under: uncultured bacterium
Lineage: Bacteria
Description: bacterial SSU rRNA
Rfam family: Bacterial small subunit ribosomal RNA
Source: RNAcentral